This 179-nucleotide microRNA precursor is filed under the name Lotus japonicus. RNAcentral describes it as "miR7531 stem-loop (lja-MIR7531)". The record is from miRBase by way of RNAcentral. Lineage: Eukaryota; Viridiplantae; Streptophyta; Magnoliopsida; Fabales; Fabaceae.
AAGGUUAGUCUAAAUUCAUGCAUCGGUUUCCGUGUUUUCUUUCAUUCCCCAUUUCAUUCCUCCCAAUCAAACAUAACAUUAAUUUUCAAACAUAGCAUUAAUGUUAUGUUUAGUUGGAAGAACGGAAAGGGAGAAAUAAAGAAAAUACGGAAAUUGAGGAAGAAAUUUAUACUAACCUU